Molecule: long non-coding RNA, 196 nt
Organism: Zingiber officinale
Lineage: Eukaryota; Viridiplantae; Streptophyta; Magnoliopsida; Zingiberales; Zingiberaceae
Exons: 3
Source: RefSeq, a predicted model, not a curated record
AGCUCUGUGCCGACGCCGACCCACCUUCACCGGCCACCAGGAUUUUGUGCUGUGGAGUACCUGAUUUCCCAGCGCUAAUCCUCUCCGGCAGUAAAUUGCCUUGGUUGUGAUUGAAGGUUAUUUCUUGGGUUCCAACAACUACCUAUGUUCCGGCAGCAACAUUACCGGUUGAGGCUUCAGAAUUAAGUAAGUGGAG